This 433-nucleotide ribosomal RNA is filed under the name uncultured bacterium. RNAcentral describes it as "partial 16S ribosomal RNA". It matches the Rfam family "Bacterial small subunit ribosomal RNA", at positions 29 to 507 of the family's 1533-position model. The record is from RNAcentral.
AACGAACGCUGGCGGCAUGCCUAACACAUGCAAGUCGAACGAUGCCUUCGGGCAUAGUGGCGCACGGGUGCGUAACGCGUGGGAAUCUGCCUUUCGGUUCGGAAUAACUCAGGGAAACUUGAGCUAAUACCGGAUAACGUCGCAAGACCAAAGAUUUAUCACCGAAAGAUGAGCCCGCGUAGGAUUAGCUAGUUGGUGAGGUAAAGGCUCACCAAGGCGACGAUCCUUAGCUGGUCUGAGAGGAUGAUCAGCCACACUGGGACUGAGACACGGCCCAGACUCCGACGGGAGGCAGCAGUGGGGAAUAUUGGACAAUGGGCGAAAGCCUGAUCCAGCAAUGCCGCGUGAGUGAUGAAGGCCUUAGGGUUGUAAAGCUCUUUUACCCGGGAAGAUAAUGACGGUACCGGGAGAAUAAGCCCCGGCUAACUCCGUG